CCAAAAUCAUUCUAAAUCACAUUAAAAGUCUACACAAUUAUAAAUCUCAUUAGAAUUCUAAUUAAUCUAUAAUCCUUUCUAAAACAAAUCUCUAAUUAAUCCUAAAACAAAAUUCAAUUAAUCCAAUCCAGCACGGGCCUAGAACUAUCAGGCCCACACAGGGGGGUAUGGACAGCAAAGUGGAGUGUAUGCUCCCAACAAGGCCAUUGGGCCUAGGGCCAUAAGCCCCGAAUACUGGAUAUGAGGAAAGGAUCCUCAGUCAAUACACGAUGCACUCAUCUUCUAGUAUUCAAACUAUACGAUCGGCCAAAAAACAACCUCCGCCGCGACGGAAACGUCUCCCGCAACGGUGGAGGGCUAGCUAGCACAAGCCAAUCGCCUCAACGUCACCUAAACAUUCUACACCUGAUGAAAUGCAACCUAGAUCUACAGCCUGAGGCAUGAUGGAAUGAGAAAUCUACUUGUCGAAGAUGACGACGGAGUUGGCGACGACGACAAAGGAAUCCGCUGGCACUGUUAAAUCCCCCUUCUCUUUCCUCUUCGCUUUGUCCGUUCGGUGACCGUGAUGGCGUGAUUUGUCGCUUGGAUCAGAUUUCUUGUAUGGUUGGUAGCGAUUUAAUGAAGAUUGCGAUCGAAGUUCGUUACAGUUGGGAAGAAGGAAAAAAUUCUGGGAAAGAAAGAAUUCCCGCGCGAACCGAAGUUACGCUCUAAUAUCCUUUAUUUAUAGAAUUUCUUGGAAUGAAUUGGUGAAUCCUUUCAAUUGUGUUUAGAUUUUAGAUUCAUCCUCCUUCUGCAUUUUGCGUUUCCUAUGCCAUUUUGAGGUAGCUCGCAUUUUAAUAUAAUGCUAUUUGUUUUGGUUUUCUUGGAGUCGUUUUGGUUUAUGCAUUUUUGGCUUAUUUGCACGUUGCUUGUGUUGGCUUCGGUUUUGUGCGGUAGCUGGUUUGGUUCGCUGCAGCUGUUAGGCUUAACACGUUGUCGUUUUGCUUUGUGUUUCGUUCGUAUCAGCCGCGUUUGCAUUUGUUUUGUAGGUGGCUUAUGCUCAGCUAUGUACAGUUGUGGUUUUUGGAUUAUGCAGCUUCGGGAUAGCAGCUCCAACCUGCAUUUUGCUUUUUCGAUUGUAGCUGCUAUGCAUACUUGUUGUGCGUUUUUCGCAGCGGCGUUAAGUUUUGCUUGGGUGUUUUGCUGCGUUUGAACAGUUGGUUCGCAGCAUUUGUGGCUUGUGCAAGUUUGUGGAGCGUUGUACUUGGCUUGGCUUGGUGAAGUACCGUUGCGUUGGAUGGUUCAUGGAUGAUGCCGUUUUGGCUUUUUCAUUUAAGUCGUUUCCAUUUUGUUUUCGUUAGCUUUGGACUCAUGUGGCUUAUCAGCAGCUUUUUGAAGCUCUUCAACUUGCAUUUAUUUAUUAUUAUUUCUGUUUUUAAGGAAAAUGGAUAAUGGGAUAAAAUGUAGAAUAAAAAUGGAUUAAAUUGGUUUGGAUAAUUAUGGUUUAUAAAUUGGACAUGUAUUUGGUUAAUUGGAUAACGACUUUAUGAGAUAAAGAAAUUGGAUACGAAAUGGAUUCUGGCUAA
Molecule: long non-coding RNA, 1565 nt
Filed under: Lathyrus oleraceus (garden pea)
Lineage: Eukaryota; Viridiplantae; Streptophyta; Magnoliopsida; Fabales; Fabaceae
Description: Pisum sativum (pea) long non-coding RNA (PSAT_LNC015550)
Source: RNAcentral